GCCUUAAUAGCUCAGUCGGUAGAGCAUGCGGCUGUUAACCGCAGGGUCGUUGGUUCGAGUCCAUCUUAAGGCGCCA
This 76-nucleotide transfer RNA is filed under the name Lachnospiraceae bacterium. RNAcentral's name for it is "tRNA-Asn". It matches the Rfam family "tRNA". From Rfam's summary of the family: Transfer RNA (tRNA) molecules are approximately 80 nucleotides in length. Lineage: Bacteria; Bacillati; Bacillota; Clostridia; Lachnospirales; Lachnospiraceae. The record is from RNAcentral. RNAcentral also lists the same sequence under 2 other names.